RNAcentral lists this transfer RNA (70 nucleotides) under Marmota marmota marmota (Alpine marmot). It matches the Rfam family "tRNA". Rfam says of the family: Transfer RNA (tRNA) molecules are approximately 80 nucleotides in length. Their secondary structure includes four short double-helical elements and three loops (D, anti-codon, and T loops). RNAcentral also lists the same sequence under 3 other names. The record is from Rfam by way of RNAcentral. Lineage: Eukaryota; Metazoa; Chordata; Mammalia; Rodentia; Sciuridae.
GGGGAUCUAGCUCAGUUGGUAGAGUGCUUGCCUUGCAUGCACAAGGCCCUGGGUUCCAUCCCCAGCACCA